CCUACGGGUGGCUGCAGUGGGGAAUAUUGGACAAUGGGCGCAAGCCUGAUCCAGCAAUGCCGCGUGUGUGAAGAAGGCCUGCGGGUUGUAAAGCACUUUAAGCAGGAAAGAAGGGCGGAGCGAUAAUACCGUUUCGCAUUGACGUUACCUGCAGAAUAAGCACCGGCUAACUCCGUGCCAGCAGCCGCGGUAAUACGGAGGGUGCGGCCGUUAGUCGGAUUUACUGGGCCGUCGUCGCGCGUCUGCGGUUAACCUGGGAACUGCGGUGGAUACUGUCGGGCUAGAGUGUGGUAGAGGGGAGUGGAAUUUCCGGUGUAGCAGUGAAAUGCGUAGAGAUCGGAAGGAACACCAGUGGCGAAGGCGGCUCCCUGGACCAACACUGACGCUGAGGUGCGAAAGCGUGGGGAGCAAACAGGAUUAGAUACCCCAGUAGUC
RNAcentral lists this ribosomal RNA (435 nucleotides) under uncultured bacterium. Its description in RNAcentral is "partial 16S ribosomal RNA". It matches the Rfam family "Bacterial small subunit ribosomal RNA", at positions 338 to 795 of the family's 1533-position model. The record is from RNAcentral.